CGUAAUAAUAUUCAUUUAAACUUUUUAAUUGUGGAAUACAAUUUUUUAUGGUGGAAAAUAAAUAUAUGAAUAAAAGGAAAAUUAUAACACAGAGUUUCAUCAAUUCUCGACUUAAUUAAUUUUUUGUAUCUUCAUGGUCGAAAAUUUUCGUUUCUAUGCUACAAACAUAAAGACACUUGGGUGUGGGCAACGCCAAAGGGGUCGUUAUUGAAUGUUAUAACGGCGCAAACACCGCCCCACCUCCCCAUUAUUGCACGUUAUUAGUUUCCACGUUAUAUUUCGUUACCACCACCACGACCUUUAACGCCGUUUUCUCUUUUUUCUUAAAACACGUGAGUGGGCUCCGACCAGUCUAAACACUAUUGUGCUAUAGUGGGUAAGCUAGUACCCCAACAUUAAUUACAAUGAUCAAAAGCAAACAAAAUCCAUCAAAGUAUUUACAACAGUAACCUUUGAGGCUGAUGUAAAGAUAAUAUUUGUUAUUCAAUCAAAUACACUCCAAAAAAAUUCUCAUUGCCAUUAAAAAACAGUAUAUGGUUGAACAAUUGAAGUUAUACAAUAUUUGCUAUUUGAAACUACAUAUAUGCAAAACGAAAUACCCACUAAAUGUUGCGAUAUACUUAAAACGCAGCCAGUGUCCAGCUCGAUCUCACAUAAAUGCAGCUUCAAUUGUUUAGAACAUAGUCAAAGAAAAACAUCAAAAAACAUGCUGUAAAUGUCCCUGAACGUUUAAAACUCAAAAAAGGCAUGUAUUUAGUGGUUCACAAUCCCCCUCCCAAACAUCGUAUUUUUCAAAUUCAGAAGCUAAUCACUGAGCUAACACUGAAACUCAUACAAACAUAUCAAUAGAUAAUCACAUAUCAUUAACCAAAACACAAGAUAGUUAAUCGGUAUAAUGGUCAAGAAUACAUAAAAGAAGACACGCAAACACAUCGCAAAAUAUAUAUAUNNNNNNNNNNNNNNNNNNNNNNNAUAUAUAUAUUGAAUUAUCUCUUUCAUGGCAUCAUUUUUUCUAACGAAUAAAACAAAACGUUUGUGUACAAACAUAUUAACAAAAUCGGAUGUGUCAGAACCUUAGACAUAGAUCUACAUCCACUAACAUAAAAUUAAUAAAUAUGGUGAAUUAGAAAGAGGCAGUGAUGUAGAAAAAGAAUAAAGGCGGUUUUAGAUCACGAUCCAUAUCUAUAACCUUAAAAAGAAAAAUCAAUGACGGUUAAUCCACAUAAACCUUCACAUCAUCGAACCUUCAUCUUGUACAAAGAGCAUAAAACAAUCAUUAAAAUAAAAAACAAAAUCGAACAGAAAGUAAGUAAGAAUCGCUUAUCAACUACAAAACGCAGACUAAAAAAUCAAACAUAAGCUCAUAUAUUGGGAUUUUAGACGGAACAUGCCUACGUUUUGUAAACAUAUCUCAGAGAGAAAGAAUAUCGCCUGCUCCUGGAAGUCGGUUGUUGUGGUUGUGUUUUUGGUAGAGAAGUCGGUGUGAGAUGGUUUAGAGCUAGGAGAGACCACAUAAAAAUAGAAGGGAAUGUUGGAGGUGACGGUAGAAGGUGAGUAUGUGCGAUGGGAGAUUUUAGGGUUUUUUGUGGAAUUUAUUCUUAAACUCUAACGAAUGAGGGGAGUGUGUGCGAUGGGAGUAUCUGAGUGGAGAGAAUAGGCAAUCCGUUGAUAUAUUUUAUUGAUUUUCAUCCGUUGGAUCAAACAAAAGUCGAG
Molecule: long non-coding RNA, 1713 nt
Filed under: Lactuca sativa (garden lettuce)
Lineage: Eukaryota; Viridiplantae; Streptophyta; Magnoliopsida; Asterales; Asteraceae
Description: long non-coding RNA (LSAT_LNC002317)
Source: RNAcentral